GACGAACGCUGGCGGCGUGCUUAACACAUGCAAGUCGAACGGAAAGGCCCAGCUUGCUGGGUGCUCGAGUGGCGAACGGGUGAGUAACACGUGGGUGAUCUGCCUCUAACUUCGGGAUAAGCUUGGGAAACUGGGUCUAAUACCGGAUAGGACAAUCGUUUAGUGUCGGUUGUGGAAAGUUUUUUCGGUUAGGGAUGAGCCCGCGGCCUAUCAGCUUGUUGGUGGGGUAAUGGCCUACCAAGGCGUCGACGGGUAGCCGGCCUGAGAGGGUGGACGGCCACAUUGGGACUGAGAUACGGCCCAGACUCCUACGGGAGGCAGCAGCGGGGAAUAUUGCACAAUGGACGCAAGCCUGAUGCAGCGACGCCGCGUGGGGGAUGACGGCCUUCGGGUUGUAAACCUCUUUCGACAGGGACGAAGCUUUGGUGACGGUACCUGUAUAAGAAGCACCGGCUAACUACGUG
Molecule: ribosomal RNA, 464 nt
Filed under: uncultured bacterium
Lineage: Bacteria
Description: partial 16S ribosomal RNA
Rfam family: Bacterial small subunit ribosomal RNA
Source: RNAcentral